UACGUAGGGGGCAAGCGUUGUCCGGAAUCAUUGGGCGUAAAGAGCGCGUAGGCGGCCCUGUAAGUCCGCUGUGAAAGUCAAGGGCUCAACCCUUGGAUGCCGGUGGAUACUGCAGGGCUAGAGUCCGGAAGAGGCGAGUGGAAUUCCUGGUGUAGCGGUGAAAUGCGUAGAUAUCAUGAGGAAUACCAGAGGCGAAGGCGGCUACCUGGACAAUUGCUGACGCUCAGGCACGAAAGCGUGGGGAGCAAAAGGG
RNAcentral lists this ribosomal RNA (253 nucleotides) under uncultured bacterium. Its description in RNAcentral is "partial 16S ribosomal RNA". It matches the Rfam family "Bacterial small subunit ribosomal RNA", at positions 524 to 776 of the family's 1533-position model. The record is from RNAcentral.